CCUUUAAAGAAAGCGUAAUAGCUCACUAGUCGAGUCGGCCUGCGCGGAAGAUGUAACGGGGCUCAAACCACACACCGAAGCUGCGGGUGUCACGUAAGUGACGCGGUAGAGGAGCGUUCUGUAAGCCUGUGAAGGUGAGUUGAGAAGCUUGCUGGAGGUAUCAGAAGUGCGAAUGCUGACAUGAGUAACGACAAUGGGUGUGAAAAACACCCACGCCGAAAGACCAAGGGUUCCUGCGCAACGUUAAUCGACGCAGGGUUAGUCGGUUCCUAAGGCGAGGCUGAAAAGCGUAGUCGAUGGGAAACAGGUUAAUAUUCCUGUACUUCUGGUUACUGCGAUGGAGGGACGGAGAAGGCUAGGCCAGCUUGGCGUUGGUUGUCCAAGUUUAAGGUGGUAGGCUGAAAUCUUAGGUAAAUCCGGGGUUUCAAGGCCGAGAGCUGAUGACGAGUCGUCUUUUAGAUGACGAAGUGGUUGAUGCCAUGCUUCCAAGAAAAGCUUCUAAGCUUCAGGUAACCAGGAACCGUACCCCAAACCGACACAGGUGGUCGGGUAGAGAAUACCAAGGCGCUUGAGAGAACUCGGGUGAAGGAACUAGGCAAAAUGGCACCGUAACUUCGGGAGAAGGUGCGCCGGCUAGGGUGAAGGAUUUACUCCGUAAGCUCUGGCUGGUCGAAGAUACCAGGCCGCUGCGACUGUUUAUUAAAAACACAGCACUCUGCAAACACGAAAGUGGACGUAUAGGGUGUGACGCCUGCCCGGUGCCGGAAGGUUAAUUGAUGGGGUUAGCGCAAGCGAAGCUCUUGAUCGAAGCCCCGGUAAACGGCGGCCGUAACUAUAACGGUCCUAAGGUAGCGAAAUUCCUUGUCGGGUAAGUUCCGACCUGCACGAAUGGCGUAACGAUGGCGGCGCUGUCUCCACCCGAGACUCAGUGAAAUUGAAAUCGCUGUGAAGAUGCAGUGUAUCCGCGGCUAGACGGAAAGACCCCGUGAACCUUUACUGUAGCUUUGCACUGGACUUUGAGCCUGCUUGUGUAGGAUAGGUGGGAGGCUUUGAAGCGUGGACGCCAGUUCGCGUGGAGCCAUCCUUGAAAUACCACCCUGGCAUGCUUGAGGUUCUAACUCUGGUCCGUGAUCCGGAUCGAGGACAGUGUAUGGUGGGCAGUUUGACUGGGGCGGUCUCCUCCUAAAGAGUAACGGAGGAGUACGAAGGUGCGCUCAGACCGGUCGGAAAUCGGUCGCAGAGUAUAAAGGCAAA
RNAcentral lists this ribosomal RNA (1254 nucleotides) under Pseudomonas aeruginosa. RNAcentral describes it as "bacterial LSU rRNA". It matches the Rfam family "Bacterial large subunit ribosomal RNA", at positions 1120 to 2361 of the family's 2925-position model. Lineage: Bacteria; Pseudomonadati; Pseudomonadota; Gammaproteobacteria; Pseudomonadales; Pseudomonadaceae. The record is from RNAcentral.